Molecule: long non-coding RNA, 1485 nt
Filed under: Equus asinus (donkey)
Lineage: Eukaryota; Metazoa; Chordata; Mammalia; Perissodactyla; Equidae
Description: lncRNA (ENSEASG00005029038.1)
Source: RNAcentral
GACAAAUCUUAUGAGUCUGAAAAAUGUCAUUAUUCUGCCCUUCGACGUGGUGGAUGAUUUGGCUGGACAUAGAAUUUUGAGUUGAAAAUAUUGGUUUCACCAGAAAUUUAAAGGCAUUGUUCCAUUGUCUGCUUGAAAUGGGUUCUAAUUCAACAGUCACUCAACAAACAUUCCAGGUACUACUCCAGGCACUAGAGAUAGAAUGUUGAAUAAGACAAAGUCCCUGCUUCAUGGAGGAGACAAACAACAAACAAAAACGAAACAAGAAGUCAGACUUGGUGGUGAUAAGUGCUAUGAAGAAUUUAAAUAAGGCCAAGGGCGUAAAUGCUGACUGGGGACUGUUAUUUUAGAUAUGAUGGGCAGGGACACCUUCUCUGAGGAGGCGACACUUGAGAUGAGACUUGAAUCAUGAGAAGUAAUGAGUCAUGCGAAGAUACAGGGAAAUCAUGUUCUAGUCAGCGGCAACAGCAAAGAAAGGUCUUUGAGGAUAAAAUGAGUCUGACAUAUUCAAGAAACUUCUGGAAGGCACAUGCAGUUGCAGUGUGGACACGAGGGAGAGAGCACUGGAAAACGAGUUUGGUUCUGAUUCUCAUUACUUUGAACCACUUCAAAGCUGACUGGACAAAUGAAUGAGACAAACUGACACCAUUGCCACGUGGUGGCGCCACUUCCGCCCUAAGCAGCUCCCUGCGGUUUUUCUUAGGAUUGUGGGAACCACACUGUUUAUAGGCAUGGGAACUUCGGCCUGUGAUUUUAGUGUGAUUAAAAAGCGUUUCUACAUCUCAAAGCAAUUCCACCCAAGCAUUAUGCGUUAGUACUAACAUGAGGACUAAAAAAAAUGCUUCGGGGUUAAUAAACUAGGAACAGACGGAUGUGAAAGAAAGCGUCGCAGGAAGCCCACAUAGUGCCCCAUGGUGUGCCAGGAUGUUAAUUUCGAGGAAAACACUGUGCAAGAUGGAAGUGAUGCUGAGAGCAUAAAAACAGCGCUAAGGGGAAAAUAAGCCACAGUGGGCAGAGAUACAGGCCCUCUCUCUGAACGUGUUCCCUUUACUUUUGUGCUUGUUCUUAUGGGAAAAUUUGACUCAAAUUAUUGGGGGUUGAAUUACACAAGAACUUCAGGAAAACCUUAUAAAAUGUGAUCACUCUGAACAGCUCUAUUCCUGAAUAAAGGUUUUCUGUUUUUAGGGGGUUUUCAUAUACGUGGUCUUGUCUAGGUCACGCUGGGCCUGUGCAGAAGGUGGCGGGUGGGCCCAUGUUACACCCGGUGAAAGCGUUUGGGCAAUUGAUCCAAGUCAUGGCUAGAAAGCAGAGGAGUCAGGACUAAAACUCCAGCCUUCAGACCCCCAUUCAGAAUUCACCCUUGGUCCUUUGAUAUUACAGGAUUUUGGUGAUUGCAAAACUCUGUCUUCUCAAGGAAUCUCCUCCCCAACCCAAUCAAAACUUGUAAAUAUGUGAAAAAAAUGAGUUAUGAUCCGUUGAAUUCAG